RNAcentral lists this transfer RNA (71 nucleotides) under Bos taurus (domestic cattle). It matches the Rfam family "tRNA". Rfam says of the family: Transfer RNA (tRNA) molecules are approximately 80 nucleotides in length. RNAcentral also lists the same sequence under 4 other names. Lineage: Eukaryota; Metazoa; Chordata; Mammalia; Artiodactyla; Bovidae. The record is from Rfam by way of RNAcentral.
UCCCUGGUGGCUUGGUUGUUAAAGAAUCUGCUUGCAAUGCAGGAGACCCAGGUUCAAUCCUGGGCUGGGUU